UACGUAGGGGGCAAGCGUUAUCCGGAUUUACUGGGUGUAAAGGGAGCGUAGACGGCGAUGCAAGCCAGACGUGAAAGCCCGGGGCUCAACCCCGGGACUGCAUUUGGAACUGUGUGGCUGGAGUGUCGGAGAGGCAAGUGGAAUUCCUAGUGUAGCGGUGAAAUGCGUAGAUAUUAGGAGGAACACCAGUGGCGAAGGCGGCUUGCUGGACGAUGACUGACGCUGAGGCUCGAAAGCGUGGGGAGCAAACAGG
This 253-nucleotide ribosomal RNA is filed under the name uncultured bacterium. RNAcentral describes it as "partial 16S ribosomal RNA". It matches the Rfam family "Bacterial small subunit ribosomal RNA", at positions 524 to 776 of the family's 1533-position model. The record is from RNAcentral.